RNAcentral lists this ribosomal RNA (117 nucleotides) under Clostridia bacterium. The record is from RNAcentral. Lineage: Bacteria; Bacillati; Bacillota; Clostridia. RNAcentral also lists the same sequence under 1 other name.
UCCGGUGAUUUUAACGUGGAGGCUACACCCGUUCCCAUUCCGAACACGGUAGUUAAGCUCCACAGUGCCGAUGAUACUUGGAGGGUGACUUCCUGGGAAAGUAGGUCGUUGCCGGAA